This 609-nucleotide long non-coding RNA is filed under the name Heterocephalus glaber (naked mole-rat). RNAcentral describes it as "lncRNA (ENSHGLG00100051662.1)". The record is from RNAcentral. Lineage: Eukaryota; Metazoa; Chordata; Mammalia; Rodentia; Bathyergidae.
ACUGCUUCCCAGGAACCCAGAGGCCCACACCAGCUCCCACUGCCACCACCAAGGUUAUGUUAUGCUCACCAGCCUCAGACUCUGUGUCUACAAAACAGGAAUGCAGAGGAGAGCUGCUGUGAGAACCUGCUGACCCACCCUACACCAAAUCCUGGGCUUGCAAUCAGUCCAGGUUCACGGAGGUCCUGCUGCACAGCGUGUGACUGGUCCCAUGCUGGGCACUUCAGCCCAAGAGAUAACAAGACACAGGGGGCAGCCCGGAGGACACUCAGGGCCAUAAGGAGACAGACAGGGGUUCGAAUCUCUUGGAGCCAACCCAGUGGUGACAAGUACACUUAGGUUCUGGGGAGGACAGUAAGGAGGGGGGUACUGUGUAGGGAAGGAUGAAGUGGGGAGCAGAAAGGUCCAGAGAGGGAACAACACAGGCAAAGCACAGAAUGAAGAGCCAUACCAAAGAGAAAGGAGAGAGAGAGGCUGUGCCUGCCAAGCAGUCCCGACCUCCAUGGCUGACCAGGUGGGCGAGCACGGACCAGGCACUUCACACGUUCUCGAGGGGCAGGAUGCCGCCAUCACACCUGCACCCCAGGACACCGUCUCCGGACAGCCGGC